Molecule: transfer RNA, 74 nt
Filed under: Pelecanus crispus (Dalmatian pelican)
Lineage: Eukaryota; Metazoa; Chordata; Aves; Pelecaniformes; Pelecanidae
Rfam family: tRNA
About the family: Transfer RNA (tRNA) molecules are approximately 80 nucleotides in length. Their secondary structure includes four short double-helical elements and three loops (D, anti-codon, and T loops).
Source: Rfam by way of RNAcentral
GCAGGGUUAGCUCAGUUGGUUAGAACAUGGUGCUAAUAACACCAAGUUCACAGGUUCAAUCCCUGCUUACUGCA